This 631-nucleotide long non-coding RNA is filed under the name Lotus japonicus. RNAcentral describes it as "long non-coding RNA (LJAP_LNC001713)". Lineage: Eukaryota; Viridiplantae; Streptophyta; Magnoliopsida; Fabales; Fabaceae. The record is from RNAcentral.
UUGGCUUCACUGGUACCAGGAGGAGUAGUCUUGUACCCAGUUAUGUAAGGUUCAUUGGAAACAUGGCUUCCAGAUUUAUAGCCAACAAUGUAAUUGGGUUGAUUGGCUUCACGGGUACCAGGAGGAGUAGUAGUUUUGUACCCAGUAAUGUAAGCUUGGUCGGUGUUUCCAUGGUGUGAUGGGUGGUGAUGUUGUUUGGUGGUUGUGGUUAAGUACCCGGCAAUGUAAGGCACAUCACUGGAUACUGGGGUGGCUUCACUGGUUCCAGCAGGAGUAGUCUUGUAACCAGUUAUGUAAGGUUCAUUGGAAACAUGGCUACCAGAUCUAUAGCCAACAAUGUAAUUGGGUUGAUUGGCUUCACGGGUACCAGGAGGAGUAGUAGUUUUGUACCCAGUAAUGUAAGCUUGGUCGGUGGUUCCAUGGUGUGAUGGGUGGUGAUGUUGUUUGUUUGUUGUGGUUAAGUACCCGGCAAUGUAAGGCACAUCACUGGAUACUGGGGUGGCUUCACUGGUUCCAGCAGGAGUAGUUUUGUACCCAGUUAUGUAAGGUUCAUUGGAAACAUGGCUACCAGAUUUAUAGCCAACAAUGUAAUUGGGUUGAUUGGCUUCACGGGUACCAGGAGGAGUAGUAG